This 980-nucleotide non-coding RNA is filed under the name Deltaproteobacteria bacterium RBG_16_64_85. RNAcentral's name for it is "bacterial LSU rRNA". It matches the Rfam family "Bacterial large subunit ribosomal RNA", at positions 1949 to 2925 of the family's 2925-position model. The record is from RNAcentral. Lineage: Bacteria; Deltaproteobacteria.
UCCUAAGGUAGCGAAAUUCCUUGUCGGGUAAGUUCCGACCUGCACGAAUGGCGUAACGAUCGCGGCACUGUCUCAACGAGGGGCUCGGCGAAUCUGUGAUACCGGUGAAGACGCCGGUUACCCGCAUCUAGACGGAAAGACCCCGUGCACCUUCACUGCAACUUGGCAUUGGAUUUUGGAACAGUCUGUGUAGGAUAGGUGGGAGGCUUGGAAACCGGGGCGCUAGCUCCGGUGGAGCCAACAGUGAAAUACCACCCUUAUUGUUCCGGAAUUCUAACCUGGGCCCGUGAUCCGGGUCGGGGACAUUGCCUGGUGGGAGUUUGACUGGGGCGGUCGCCUCCCAAAGAGUAACGGAGGCGCACGAAGGUUCCCUCAGGCUGAUUGGAAACCAGCCUUCGAGUGUAAUGGCAUAAGGGAGCUUGACUGCGAGACAGACAAGUCGAGCAGGUGCGAAAGCAGGUCAUAGUGAUCCGGUGGUUCCGCAUGGAAGGGCCAUCGCUCAACGGAUAAAAGGUACGCCGGGGAUAACAGGCUUAUCUCCCCCAAGAGUUCACAUCGACGGGGAGGUUUGGCACCUCGAUGUCGGCUCAUCGCAUCCUGGGGCUGAAGUAGGUCCCAAGGGUUUGGCUGUUCGCCAAUUAAAGCGGUACGUGAGCUGGGUUUAAAACGUCGCAAGACAGUUUGGUCCCUAUCUGAUGUGGGCGUUGGAUACUUGAAGGGAGCUGUCCCUAGUACGAGAGGACCGGGAUGGACGCACCGCUAGUGUACCAGUUGUCCUGCCAAGGGCACCGCUGGGUAGCUAUGUGCGGAAGGGAUAACCGCUGAAAGCAUCUAAGUGGGAAACCCGCCCUGAGAUGAGGUAUCCCGGGGAUUCAAUCCCCCUAAAGGGCCCUCGUAGACUACGAGGUUGAUAGGCCGGAUGUGUAAGCGCAGCGAUGCGUUUAGCUGACCGGUACUAAUUGCCCGUGAGGCUUGACCAC